Molecule: long non-coding RNA, 1337 nt
Filed under: Coffea arabica (coffee)
Lineage: Eukaryota; Viridiplantae; Streptophyta; Magnoliopsida; Gentianales; Rubiaceae
Description: long non-coding RNA (CARA_LNC005767)
Source: RNAcentral
CGAACAACCUAACUCGCUGCCCGAAACUCUUGCCCGCCCUAAUCUCUCUAUAAAUUCCAGCUCCCAUCGCUCUCAAACUCUGCUGCCACCAUUCUUUCUAGGCCUCUCCUCUCUCUCCUCUUAUUCAGUACCUUGAGAGCAAUGGCAGUCUCACGCUCCGCAGCUUCGGUUGUACCAUUGUUGGUCGUGGUGGCCAUGGUCUUCUCGCUAGUCGGAGCCUCGUUCGCCGCCGAGGCUCCUGCACCGGCUCCCGCUUCUUCCGCCGUGUCAGUUUCGCCGUCAUUGGUGGCCGGAUUCGCCGUUGCCUUCGCUUCUUUCAUCUUCGGAUCUGGAUUCAGAGUUUGAAGUAGUACAGUUAUUUAUAUUAUUUGCAGGAGAUAUUUGAUUUUGGGGAGGUUUUGUACAUGUGUUUAUUACUACUUAGCUAUGAUGUUAGUGUAGUAACCGCUGCUGCAGUUUGUUUUUCCUUUUUCAUUUUUUUUUUAUUAUUUUGUGAGUUUCUCGAGGGGUUUGUUUCUAGCAUGUUAUUGCAGAGUUGCAGUUUAUUUUAAAUUUCUCUUCACUAAUAUUUCGUUAAAAUAUCUUUUAUUGAUUUACAAUCUUAAUUGUCUCAUUGCACCGUUAUUAUUUUUUAAUUUUGUGGGGUAAUUAAAAACACGGGGAAAAAAUCCCUAUUAUUCUACAAUUUUUUUUGUUUUUACCCUUGGUAACUAAUGAAUACUAGUACUAUUAGACAAUUUUAUGUGUACCAAUAAUUACAAGUAGGCCUAAAAACAAUAGCAGACAGGAGUGAAGCAUUAUGUGACUUAAUUGAGUCUAGCAUUUAGUUGAAACUCGAGUCUAACAACACACAGAUUAAGACUCCUAUUUUAGCGAAGAAAAAUGCUUGAUUAAACUAGAAAUUCGAAUGAGAAAAAGUAUUCAAUCAAGAUGCUUGAUCAAUAAAUGGGGCUAAUACAUAAUUUCCAAUUUGUGUCAGGAGCGGAAUUUAUAUAUAAGCCACUAAAUCCAGCGUUGUUCUAUUUCGCUUCUCAACCAUCACAAUGGUCCUAUCCUCCAUCGAGCAAGCUAAACCAAAUUAUGGCAACUGAGCUAGGGGUGUACUCAAUUCGGACUCACGAGUAACUCCAACUUCAAUACAGUGUUCAUCUAGUUGGAAUCGAAUUCGACCUACUUGAUAAGAAAAUCUAGUCUACUUUGAGAGUAUUCGUCGUCAAUCUUAUCAAGUAAGAUAUUUAUAAUUAAUUUUUAAUUAUUUCUUAUAAAAUUAUGAAAUUCACGAAAAAAAACCGAACCUUCCUCUUAAACCUUGAUUAAUGACUCAUCAGAAAAAGAAA